Molecule: long non-coding RNA, 480 nt
Filed under: Strigops habroptila (Kakapo)
Lineage: Eukaryota; Metazoa; Chordata; Aves; Psittaciformes; Psittacidae
Description: lncRNA (ENSSHBG00005002808.1)
Source: RNAcentral
AAGAGGUAAGAAGUUCUCGGUUGGAGCGCUGUAUGAACACAUGAGCUGAUUAAGAGAUGGCUUAGGUAUCUUUAGUUCAGUGAAGGAGCCGUGAAGUUGGAAUGGGCCAAAAAGAACCAGCAGGAGGCCCUGACUUUGACGGCAACAGGAUAGGAGUAUUUGACCUUGAUGAUAGAGCCCUGUGCCUCUGAAGAGAAAAGAAAAACAACUUUGAGAAAGUUAUCUGAGUGAAGAGACAUAGUCAGUAGAAAAGCAGGGACUUGGCUAACAGAGACUGCACGCAUGAAGGUAACACCUUAACCAAUUAAUGUAUAGCAGGGGUGAGUUAACGAAGGCUAAACCCUAUCAGGAGUUGCCUGGUGGCAACUGCUUACAUUUAUUACUGUAUAAAUAAGGCUCUGUUAAAGCAAUAAAAGUCUUUGGUCUGCAGAUCGCCAGAGUCCGUGCCUUUAAUCUCCACACUUUUCCAUAAAUUUGUUU